RNAcentral lists this long non-coding RNA (349 nucleotides) under Androctonus crassicauda. Lineage: Eukaryota; Metazoa; Arthropoda; Arachnida; Scorpiones; Buthidae. The record is from RNAcentral.
GUAGAACCUUAGCAGAGAGAUUACAUGAACACAAGAAAGACAUUGAAAAAGCCAAUGUUAGCACAGCACUGGCCAUGGAACUAUAUGCGAAAGACGUACGAAUCCACUGGGACAAAACGAAAAUAAUAAGAUCAAUACAAAAUAAGUCGCAGGCCAUGAUGACAGAAGCCUUGGAGAUAUUGAAAGCAAAAAAGAGAAUUAAUAUCCUUAAUGAAGGCACGGCAAUAGAAGUGCCGCCAGCAUGGCUAUAUCUCCUCGAUACCCAAAAAAGUGAAUCCAACCCGGCCGCCUAAAGUUAUUAUUGUGGACUUUGGCACGUACUUAAAAGAGGGAUAACCCUCCCUUAAGA